AACGAACGCUGGCGGCAGGCCUAACACAUGCAAGUCGAGCGAGGACUUCGGUCCUAGCGUCGGACGGGUGAGUAAAGCGUGGGAACGUGCCCUUUGCCUCGGCAUAGCCCUGGGAAACUGGGAGUAAUACCGUAUGAGCCCUUUGGGGGAAAGAUUUAUCGGCGAAGGAUCGGCCCGCGUUGCAUUAGGUAGUUGGUGGGGUAAUGGCCUACCAAGCCGACGAUGCAUAGCUGGUUUGAGAGGAUGAUCAGCCACACUGGGACUGAGACACGGUCCAGACUCCUACGGGAGGCAGGAGUGGGGAAUCUUAGACAAUGGGGGGAACGCUGAUCUAGCCAUGCCGCGUGAGCGAUGAAGGCCUUAGGGUUGUAAAGCUCUUUCAGCUGGGAAGAUAAUGACGGUACCAGCAGAAGAAGCCCCGGCUAACUCCGUG
RNAcentral lists this ribosomal RNA (433 nucleotides) under uncultured bacterium. Its description in RNAcentral is "partial 16S ribosomal RNA". It matches the Rfam family "Bacterial small subunit ribosomal RNA", at positions 29 to 507 of the family's 1533-position model. The record is from RNAcentral.